CGUCACCGAUCCGACCGCCUGCCCACUCCCGGGACAUGGCACCAAUCCGAUUGCCAGUGGCUCGCCGAAUGU
RNAcentral lists this small RNA (72 nucleotides) under Pseudomonas sp. LAMO17WK12:I5. RNAcentral describes it as "Pseudomonas sRNA P10". It matches the Rfam family "Pseudomonas sRNA P10". RNAcentral also lists the same sequence under 2 other names. The record is from RNAcentral. Lineage: Bacteria; Pseudomonadati; Pseudomonadota; Gammaproteobacteria; Pseudomonadales; Pseudomonadaceae.